GGGAGCGCCAGGGGAACUGCAAGUUGGGUGUUUAAUCUACGGGCUCAACCCGUAUCAGCAUUCAAAACUGUGGUUCUUGAGUAAUGCAGAGGUAGGCGGAAUUCCCGGUGUAGCGGUGGAAUGCGUAGAUUUCGGGAGGAACACCAGUGGGGAAGGCGGCCUACUGGGCAUCAACUGACGCUGAGGCUCGAAAGCAUGGGUAGCAAACAGGAUUAGAUACCCUGGUAGUCCAUGCUGUAAACGAUGAUUACUAGGUGUGGGAAGAUUGACCCUUUCCGUGCCGCAGUUAACACAAUAAGUAAUCCACCUGGGGAGUACGACCGCAAGGUUGAAACUCAAAGGAAUUGACGGGGGCCCGCACAAGCAGUGGAGUAUGUGGUUUAAUUCGAAGCAACGCGAAGAACCUUACCAGGUCUUGACAUCCAACGACCGCCUAAGAGAUUAGGCUUUCCUUCGGGACGUUGAGACAGGUGGUGCAUGGUUGUCGUCAGCUCGUGUCGUGAGAUGUUGGGUUAAGUCCCGCAACGAGCGCAACCCUUAUUACUAGUUACUACGCAAGAGGACUCUAGUGAGACUGCCGUUGACAAAACGGAGGAAGGUGGGGAUGACGUCAAAUCAUCAUGCCCUUUAUGACCUGGGCUACACACGUACUACAAUGGCUAUUAACAGAGAGAAGCGAGACCGCAAGGUGGAGCAAACCUCAGAAAAAUAGUCUCAGUCCGGAUUGGGGGCUGCAACCCGCCCCCAUGAAGCCGGAAUUGCUAGUAAUCGCGGAUCAGCAUGCCGCGGUGAAUACGUUCCCGGGCCUUGUACACACCGCCCGUCACACCAUGAGAGCCGGGGGGACCCGAAGUCGGUAGUCUAACCGCAAGGAGGACGCCGCCGAAGGUAAAACUGGUGAUUGGGGUGAAGUCGUAACAAGGUAACCGUAAAGGGCGAAUU
This 942-nucleotide ribosomal RNA is filed under the name uncultured Anaerofilum sp. Its description in RNAcentral is "bacterial SSU rRNA". It matches the Rfam family "Bacterial small subunit ribosomal RNA", at positions 565 to 1512 of the family's 1533-position model. The record is from RNAcentral. Lineage: Bacteria; Bacillati; Bacillota; Clostridia; Eubacteriales; Oscillospiraceae.